CACCAGUUAAGCGUGAAACAAAUGUCAUUGGAUCGAUAGCCAAGGUCACAUUUUAGGAUUACAUGUUUGAAAACUGAAACAAGAUACAUACAAUGAAAAGCUUAAAGAGUUUAACUAAAUUAGAUCUUGCCACGCGGCCCAGGCUUGGGUGGGAGUUGCGGACCUUUCUUGAUCGGUAGAAGGUCAUCGGAAGCAGUGGCACUGAGGUAAAGACCGAGGGAACCGCCUCCCAAGAUCAGGAACUUGAGCAACAAUCCUCUCUUGGUAAAUGGAGCUGCAAAUGUCUCAAAGAACUUGCUCUGCAAUUCCAAACAUUUGACCAUACUUCUGUUAGUUAAUGCAAAUAAUUCGUUUCUUGAGUUCCACAAUCAAUAAAACCAAACAGCAUCAGACUUCAUUCAGUUAUCAAUCAACUAAAGCAAGAAAGCCACCAAAUAUUACAGUAUGGCCUGUAUAAAAAUACUCUGCAAAUCUUUUCUCAGAUACCAAAUUCAUCAAAACAGAGAAUAAGGGUAAAACCUGGAGUGGGUUGUACGGUGAAGGUGCAUCGGAUCCAUACAAGUCCCAUUGCCCAGUUGUGUUGCCAAUAUCCUCCAAAUCAAAGUAUAUACUCUUAUCACCAUACUUUGCUACCACAGCACCAGCCCUAUCAAAGAAGGGGGUACACUUUUUUUUUUAUUUUAAAAAUAA
This 690-nucleotide long non-coding RNA is filed under the name Gossypium barbadense (sea-island cotton). Its description in RNAcentral is "long non-coding RNA (GBAR_LNC016042)". The record is from RNAcentral. Lineage: Eukaryota; Viridiplantae; Streptophyta; Magnoliopsida; Malvales; Malvaceae.